CUGUUUCUUUGGGCUUAUUCAGUUCUUGAUUAUUGCUGCCUUCAUGGAGAGAGACCCACAGGCUUGGAUUUUCCACUCUGGUGGAGAACUCUUCACUAUCCUCUAUGCAGUUAGUAUCUAUCUCACCCGUAUUCCUCUUUGAGAUAAUUCAGUCUCCUGCUCUGAUAAGCUAAUUAAUUUCCUAAACCGAACAUUAUGGUAUACACAGCAUGAGAUUAGCCAGUUUAAUUAACUUGAACUUACUUAGGUAUUCCUGUUUUCUGUUUGGGGAACAUUAAUCAUGACAAGGAGAGCAAGUCAGAUCAUAAAUCAAAUCAAGGGUCUUAAUAUUUAUUCACUAGUCACCUUUAUUUUUAAUAACUAAUUAAAUACAGUUUUUUUUUUUUUAAUAUGAAAUCCUUUCUAACAUAAAUAUUUAUUUAUUUUUCUUGAUUUAAAGUUUCCAUGGUUAUUGUUUUUGCUUUUUUUUUAAAUUAUGAAAAAAUAGCUUGUUGAAUUUUAGUGUCUGGGAUGGAUGAUUGCUUGAAAAUAGAUUAAAAUAAUUUUUUUAAAUUUUAUUUUUAUUUUUAAUAUUAAAACGUUAAAACUAUAAAAUGACACUAAAUAAAACAUUCAAGUAAAAUAUAUUUUUUAAGAAAAAAUAAAAAAAACUACCACUCCAGUCCAGUGCGUGCUUUAAAAUCCUGUCAAGUACUCUUAGAUCAGAGAUAAAAGGGUAGCUUUGUUGUAGUCUUUGUGCAUGUGCGAACCCCAGUUGCUGAUCAGUCAAAUGCCACCUUUAUCUUUAUUGAUACACUAUAUUUUAUUAGCUUUCUCCAUAUACAUUGUAAGCUUCUCUCUAGUUGUUAUAUGAUAUGAUCCAAAAGUGGCUAUGCGCGCAAUAAUGUAGAGUGGUGGGUGUUUUGAAAAUGAAGUGAGCAAGAAACUUCUUUUUUUGUUGGAAAAUUGCAGGGAGUGGUAGCAUCAGGGAUUGCCUUCGCUGUACAGAUAUGGUGCAUUGACAGAGGUGGCCCUGUCUUUGUGGCUGUUUAUCAACCUGUUCAGACUCUUGUUGUCGCUAUUAUGGCCUCCAUUGCUUUAGGGGAAGAAUUCUAUUUAGGAGGGUAGGUCCCUUGUUUAUUUAUUUAUUAUUUUUUAAUCAUGAAUUCUAUUGGCUCCACGUCUAUCCCCAGCCAUAAGGAUUAACAAUAAUUUUUGGGAUUUUUAACUAAUCUUUGACAAGUUUAAAUGACCAAAAUAUUCUUUCCAUUUAGUGGUAUUUCUUUUGUUUAUCCCUUCCCAAAGGACAAGGCCACAAGGGUAUGUGGUAGAGCUAGGUCAGACAACUGCUGCUGAGGGCACAGGAGAACGAACAGAAUUGAUCACACUGGAGCGUGUGUAGAUUUUUAAUAUUUUUUUUUUCUGAUGGGAUAUGCUUUUUUUGUUUGUUAUGAUUUUGUGUGUACAGGAUCAUUGGGGCAGCGUUGAUCAUUAUAGGAUUGUACCUGGUCCUAUGGGGCAAAAGUGAGGAAAAGAAGUUCUUGGCUUUGGAAAAGGCUGCCAUUCAGUCCACUCCUGAGCAUGGAAUCAGCAGGGCUCAAACCCACAUCAAGACCUCCCUCACUCAGCCACUUCUCCCCUCGUCAACAGAAAAUGUUUGACCGGCAAAGCCUCUUAACUCUUAACCACACAGUUGGCCGGAGAGCCAAGAUCCCAUGAAAAAGAAAAAAAAGGCAGUACUGCUCUAUUAAUUAAGAUGGCUUGUGUGUGUAU
This 1752-nucleotide long non-coding RNA is filed under the name Populus trichocarpa (black cottonwood). RNAcentral's name for it is "long non-coding RNA (PTRI_LNC000540)". Lineage: Eukaryota; Viridiplantae; Streptophyta; Magnoliopsida; Malpighiales; Salicaceae. The record is from RNAcentral.